Molecule: ribosomal RNA, 724 nt
Filed under: uncultured bacterium
Lineage: Bacteria
Description: bacterial SSU rRNA
Rfam family: Bacterial small subunit ribosomal RNA
Source: RNAcentral
GAGCGAACAGGAUUAGAUACCCUGGUAGUCCACGCCGUAAACGAUGUUCACUCGCUGUUUGCGAUACACAGCAAGCGGCCAAGCGAAAGCAUUAAGUGAACCACCUGGGGAGUACGAUCGCAAGGUUGAAACUCAAAGGAAUUGACGGGGGCCCGCACAAGCGGAGGAACAUGUGGUUUAAUUCGAUGAUACGCGAGGAACCUUACCUGGGCUUAAAUGUAGAGCGACAGAUUGUGAAAGCAGUCCUUCUUCGGACGAUCUACAAGGUGCUGCAUGGUUGUCGUCAGCUCGUGCCGUGAGGUGUCGGGUUAAGUCCCAUAACGAGCGCAACCCUUAUCGUUAGUUGCCAGCGGGUCAAGCCGGGGACUCUAGCGAGACUGCCACCGUAAGGUGUGAGGAAGGUGGGGAUGACGUCAAAUCAGCACGGCCCUUAUGUCCAGGGCUACACACGUGUUACAAUGGCCGAUACAAAGGGCAGCUACCAGGUGACUGGAUGCUAAUCUCUAAAGUCGGUCUCAGUUCGGAUCGAAGUCUGCAACCCGACUUCGUGAAGCUGGAUUCGCUAGUAAUCGCAUAUCAGCCAUGAUGCGGUGAAUACGUUCCCGGGCCUUGUACACACCGCCCGUCAAACAAUGGAAGCUGGGGGUACCUGAAGUCUGUAACCGCAAGGAGCGGCCUAGGGUAAAACUAGUAACUGGUGUUAAGUCGUAACAAGGUAACCAAG